RNAcentral lists this ribosomal RNA (500 nucleotides) under uncultured bacterium. RNAcentral's name for it is "partial 16S ribosomal RNA". It matches the Rfam family "Bacterial small subunit ribosomal RNA", at positions 30 to 523 of the family's 1533-position model. The record is from RNAcentral.
AUUGAACGCUGGCGGAAUGCUUUACACAUGCAAGUCGAACGGCAGCACGGACUCCGGUCUGGUGGCGAGAGGCGAACGGGUGAGUAAUGUAUCGGAACGUGCCCAGUCGUGGGGGAUAACGUAGUGAAAAUUACGCUAAUACCGCAUACGAUCUAUGGAUGAAAGCGGGGGAGCGCAAGACCCCGCGCGAUUGGAGCGGCCGAUAUCAGAUUAGGUAGUUGGUGGGGUAAAGGCCCACCAAGCCAACGAUCUGUAGCUGGUCUGAGAGGACGACCAGCCACACUGGAACUGAGACACGGUCCAGACUCCUACGGGAGGCAGCAGGGGGGAAUUUUGGACAAUGGGCGAAAGCCUGAUCCAGCCAUUCCGCGUGCAGGAUGAAGGCCCGCGGGUUGUAAACUGCUUUUGUACAGAACGAAAAGGUUUCUACUAAUACUAGGAGCUCAUGACGGUACUGUAAGAAUAAGCACCGGCUAACUACGUGCCAGCAGCCGCCGUAA